This is a long non-coding RNA of Xiphophorus couchianus (Monterrey platyfish), 1789 nucleotides long. RefSeq lists it as uncharacterized. NCBI's taxonomy places the organism in Eukaryota, Metazoa, Chordata, Actinopteri, Cyprinodontiformes, Poeciliidae. The record is from RefSeq and is a predicted model, not a curated record. The transcript has 2 exons.
UGGUUUUAAAUAUUCUGCUACUAGAGCAGAAUAAUCCAGUCUAGUUUUGAAGCGUUUAGGUGUUGGUAGUUUUUAAACUAGAGUCGAUCCAAGAUGCGGAAGCUAUUGAAAAAUUAGGUGGAAUCGCCCUUUAGCCAUUUCCCGAAUCGUAAGCUAGAAUUUUUAACCAACUUCAGUUUCGUCAAAAGGCACCAAUCCCACCUGGGAACACCCAGAAUGUGCUGGAGAGUUUUGUCUGGGUUUCCCUCCAGGACCUGCUAGCCAAUCUUGGUUAAGCAGAAGACAAUAGAUAGGUGGCCACUUAAAAAUUUCUAUAGGAUAUUGAUUAUUGAAUAAAUGUUCAAAAUGUCCCGUUGUCAACAAUGACAUAGUUAUUAGGUUAGGAUUAGAUUACAUCAGAAACUAGUUACAAAAUUACAGAUGCUGAAAUUCAAGCCAAAUGUUACACUAACUAUUUGCAUACUUGUGCAUUAGGUCCAUCAAGAUGACCGUUCAGGGGUAUUGAAACAUUUUACAAGUUAAGCUAUGGUCACUGCAUGGCUGCGGUGGUGUCACAGCAAUCAUGGAACCACAAGCACAAAUACUGCUCUUGGAAAACAUUCCUACUGGUAAUUAGCAUCUUUAGGAUACCAGUCACAUAAAGAAUAGUGAUUUGUCUCACUGCAAAUCACAACUGCAUUUAGUCAAGUUUUCAAAUUUAUUGAUAGUUUCACUGAAUAAACAGUGGGAAAAAAAUGUAAAGCUAACAAUCCCCACAGUAUGGACAUUUUGGGGGGUGUUAAACAUUAACUGGAAUUUGUCAUGACAAUAAUAAUCAGAAUUAUAAGAAAUGUAUCACGAUGAACUAUAAACAAUAGGGCCCACCCUUACAUGCCGACCUUUGUGGAAUUGGACACCAGUGUCAGACUGCAAAAGACUUGCUGAUGUUCACCUUUCAGCAGAACGACCUCAAACAACAGAAAACUUCAGAUCAAAGCACAAUCAUGCCUCAGAAUGUUGUCAGAAUCUAGAUGUAUGAUCUGUGAGGACCGGAAAACUGCUGUCAGAGCAAAAGGUACAUAAAGAAAAAAGCAUCAACUCAGCUUCAAAUGAACGCUACAGUUACCAGCUUUGAACUCUUAAAAAGUUGUUACUUUGUGUUGGUGUACCUGACACCAACACAAAGUAAAAUAUCAAUGAAAUACUUUAAGGUUGUAAAUUUGAGAAAAUAUGGGGAAGUUCAGGAUGUUUAAGUACUUCUGCAAGGUACUGUGUCUGCUAAAAUAAUGCAAGACUAGCAUGCAAUCUUGUUAUAUUUGAGGGCAUUUUUUAAAACCAGAGCAGACAAAACCUGAUAUUACAUUUUAUAAUAAAAUGUCUUGUUUUCAACAUCCAGAUGAGAGUCAUGCUGUGCAUAUCUACUUUAACCAGAGAUAUUAAGAAGCUUUUUUUUCCAUCCUGGAAUGAUAAUGUAAUUUUGCAGUUUUUAGCCCUUUUAGCCCAUUCCUUUUUGCAGAUGACAGGGAUUAAAUUAGAGAUGUGCUAUUUAAAGUAUUCUAAGAGAAAAAAGUGACAGAAGAAAGUUAAAAAAUAGCUUUUAUUUUAAUAGAAGCAGUCAGCUGUUCAUAUUUGAUAUGAAGUAAAAUAGCAGAAUGUCUAUACAAUUCUUUUUGAAACUCAGAGGACUAAAAAGAUUAACUGUUUAGCAUACUACAAACAUGGCUUCCAGGAAGCAGCAGAAUAUUUUCUCUUUCACCAAAACUUGCUAGAAAAAAAAAGAUUACUGAAAGUAUGAGGCAAAAAAAAAAAA